Molecule: ribosomal RNA, 617 nt
Filed under: Maritalea sp.
Lineage: Bacteria; Pseudomonadati; Pseudomonadota; Alphaproteobacteria; Hyphomicrobiales; Devosiaceae
Description: bacterial SSU rRNA
Rfam family: Bacterial small subunit ribosomal RNA
Source: RNAcentral
AACCUACCUAGUAGUACGGAAUAGCUCCUGGAAACGGGAAUUAAUACCGUAUACGCCCUAUGGGGGAAAGAUUUAUCGCUAUUAGAUGGGCCCGCGUUUGAUUAGUUAGUUGGUGGGGUAAUGGCCUACCAAGACGACGAUCAAUAGCUGGUCUGAGAGGAUGAUCAGCCACACUGGGACUGAGACACGGCCCAGACUCCUACGGGAGGCAGCAGUGGGGAAUAUUGGACAAUGGGGGCAACCCUGAUCCAGCCAUGCCGCGUGAGUGAUGAAGGCCUUAGGGUUGUAAAGCUCUUUCGCUAGGGAAGAUAAUGACGGUACCUAGUAAAGAAGCCCCGGCUAACUUCGUGCCAGCAGCCGCGGUAAUACGAAGGGGGCUAGCGUUGUUCGGAAUUACUGGGCGUAAAGCGCACGUAGGCGGAUUAGUAAGUUAGGGGUGAAAUCCCGAGGCUCAACCUCGGAACUGCCUUUAAUACUGCUAGUCUCGAGUUCGGGAGAGGUGUAUGGAACUCCUAGUGUAGAGGUGGAAUUCGUAGAUAUUAGGAAGAACACCAGUGGCGAAGGCGAUACACUGGCCCGAUACUGACGCUGAGGUGCGAAAGCGUGGGGAGCAAACA